AACGAACGCUGGCGGCAUGCCUAACACAUGCAAGUCGAACGAGAUCUUCGGGUCUAGUGGCGCACGGGUGCGUAACGCGUGGGAAUCUGCCCUUUGGUUCGGAAUAACAGUUGGAAACGACUGCUAAUACCGGAUGAUGACGAAAGUCCAAAGAUUUAUCGCCAGAGGAUGAGCCCGCGUAGGAUUAGCUAGUUGGUGUGGUAAAGGCGCACCAAGGCGACGAUCCUUAGCUGGUCUGAGAGGAUGAUCAGCCACACUGGGACUGAGACACGGGCCAGACUCCUACGGGGGGCAGCAGUGGGGAAUAUUGGACGAUGGGCGAAAGCCUGUUCCAGCAAUGCCGCGUGAGUGAUGAGGGCCUUAGGGUUGUAAAGCUCUUUUACCCGGGAUGAUAAUGACAGUACCGGGAGAAUAAGCUCCGGCUAACUCCGUGCCAGCCGCCGCAGUAA
This 449-nucleotide ribosomal RNA is filed under the name uncultured bacterium. RNAcentral's name for it is "partial 16S ribosomal RNA". It matches the Rfam family "Bacterial small subunit ribosomal RNA", at positions 29 to 523 of the family's 1533-position model. The record is from RNAcentral.